Molecule: long non-coding RNA, 202 nt
Filed under: Carica papaya (papaya)
Lineage: Eukaryota; Viridiplantae; Streptophyta; Magnoliopsida; Brassicales; Caricaceae
Description: long non-coding RNA (CPAP_LNC011013)
Source: RNAcentral
UACAUAAUCAGACACAGGGAAACACCUGUUCCAAACUUCAUUCCAGUAGGUUGGAGAUUGGCAAGGCCUACUUUAGAAUAGACUGAUGACUCAAGGGAAGGUAUAUACCAUCACAAAGAAAGAUGCUGAAGCUUCUCAAGACAUAAUCCAAUGUAUGUUUACUAUCUCUGUGCCUUGGCUAGAGUCCUAAUAGACCGAGGAU